Molecule: long non-coding RNA, 2057 nt
Organism: Homo sapiens (human)
Lineage: Eukaryota; Metazoa; Chordata; Mammalia; Primates; Hominidae
Product: long intergenic non-protein coding RNA 944
Source: Ensembl
UGGAUACAGUGAUGCCAUCAGGUGUGGUAUGUGAUCACAGGCAACUCAGGAACAGCUCUCCAGCCCCAGGACUUCUGCUGGAACCGCUGGGAGUUGGAAGCUUUCUUCCCACUGAGGGGCAAACCUUCUAGGUAUCUGAAGAUGUUGAAGACCAUUUCCUGGAACAGCAGAGGUAAAUGCCCAGAGGAUGAGAACACAUAGCCAUUAGGAGAGCCUGAAAGUUCAGUGUGACUGAAAGAUGAAGUUCAAGAGAAGGGACAAACUGCAAAACACAAGCUGGAGAGUUUUAGGUAAGAGUCAUAUCACAAAAAGCCAUUAAGCAUUUUAAAAUGCUUAGCCUUUAUCCAAAGACUAAUGGAAAGGCACUGACAUGACCUAAUCAUGAAUGAGAAGAUUUGAUUAAAUAUAUCUCUCUACAAUGAUGGAGAAUGGACCAAAAGCAGGCGGGGACAAGGACAGUAAACUCUGCUAGGGACUGCUAGAAUGACCCUGAAAGAAUAGCCCUGAAGAUAGAAAGAAGUAGAUAGUUGCCAAAGAUACCUGUGGAAUACAAAAGUACCAGUGCCCACCAGAUCAAACUACACAUGGAUCUGAAUCUCAGAAAAGGGCUCCGAGCUAGGGAAAGAGAUUUAGAAGCCUUCAGCAGAGAGAUGAUGUUUUAAGCCUUAGGAGUGAAUGAAAUUACCCAGAGAACAUGCAUGAUGAGAAGAGAACCUGGAACAGCAGGGGCCAAGAUUUAGGAUCUGUCAGACAACGAGGAGCCCAAGACUGAGACCUGUUAAUCCAAAAUGCACCAUUUUGUAAGCUCCCUGCCAAUAUGCAGACCUUGGUCAAAGUGAAACAUUCCACGAGGGUUCGGGCCAUGAGAACCUGCCUGCCCAACCGCCUGACUUUAACACAUUCUGCUGAGAAAAAGUCCAAGGAACAUCAUUAUUACAUUCUGUGGGAACAAGGCCCCAACUGCCUCAUUGUGGGAACGUCUUCUCAACAUCUUCCCUGGCAGCACGCCAUACUGCCCAGACCCCUCCCUGCCAUACCUACAAGUAUCCCAGCCUGUAAGCAGUGGUGGGCACUGGCAUUAAGCUGGUCCUCCACCUCGGCAGGUUUACCUGGACAUAAAUACCUGCAUUUGCUGUUGAGCCGCCCUCUCGCUCUAUGUGUGUCUUUAACCCUCACCUUCCCUUGGAAACCUAACAAGAAGCAGGAGCCAGGAAGGUAGGAGGAAGACAGAAGCCCAUGGUGUUAAAAACAGCCACAGGAAUUAUGUAGAACAGUGAUUCUCAAAGUGAGGUCCACAAACUCUCGGGGCUCCCAUGACCCUUGUAGGAGGUCCACACAAGCCAAAAUAUCUCUAUAUGGAUACUAAGGUGUUAUUUGUUGAUUUCAUUCUCAUGAGCACAUGAAUGCAGAAUGGAGAUUUCCGGAGGCUACCGGAAAGGUGAUAUUGCAACAAACUGGAGAAACAACAUCAUGAAAUUUCUCCAUUUUAAUUUCUAAUAAAUAUCAAUGUUUAUAAGCAAAAUGGUUUUUUUGGUGGGGUGGUUUUCAACAAUGUAAGGAUAAACAGAUCCUGUGAUCAAAGAGUGAGAACACAGCCAUAGAGAGCUUUACAAAGGGCAUCAGUAUUAAUGUCAAAUGUUACUGAGGCCUCGAGGGAACUAACCAGUCAGAAGCAACCAUCGAAUUUAGUAAUGGACUUCACUCACUUGGUGAAAGCUGUUCCGUGUCAUGGUGGCAGAGACACAGCACAGUGGCUGAGAGUGAGCAGGAGCUGUGGAAGUUGAAUAAUGCCUGAAGGGACCAUUCUUUCUAUCUCAAUGGCGGGAACACCUUCAUGGCCCCUUUAUAGCUGGUAUGUUUUCUUCUUAUGGACAAUGAGAAACAUGUAAUAAACUGUGUUUCCUUCUCGCUAGGAAACCCUGAGUUAAAGCUUUACUUCCCUCUCAGGAACCAUCAAAGAGCCAUAAUCUGUACACCCUGGUGCAACAUUUCCCCUGGAUUUGAUCCCCUUUCAAUUGUUUUAGCCUUAUUUUACAUUUCUUAAAUCUAUUUCUCUA